RNAcentral lists this ribosomal RNA (253 nucleotides) under uncultured bacterium. Its description in RNAcentral is "partial 16S ribosomal RNA". It matches the Rfam family "Bacterial small subunit ribosomal RNA", at positions 524 to 776 of the family's 1533-position model. The record is from RNAcentral.
UACGAAGGGGGCUAGCGUUGCUCGGAAUCACUGGGCGUAAAGGGUGCGUAGGCGGUUCUUUAAGUCAGGGGUGAAAUCCUGGAGCUCAACUCCAGAACUGCCUUUGGUACUGAAGAUCUUGAGUUCGGGAGAGGUGAGUGGAACUGCGAGUGUAGAGGUGAAAUUCGUAGAUAUUCGCAAGAACACCAGUGGCGAAGGCGGCUCACUGGCCCGAUACUGACGCUGAGGCACGAAAGCGUGGGGAGCAAACAGG